GAUGAACGCUGGCGGCGUGCCUAAUGCAUGCAAGUCUAGCGAACGGACGAGAAGCUUGCUUCUCUGAUGUUAGCGGCGGACGGGUGAGUAACACGUGGAUAACCUACCUAUAAGACUGGGAUAACUUCGGGAAACCGGAGCUAAUACCGGAUAAUAUUUUGAACCGCAUGGUUCAAAAGUGAAAGACGGUCUUGCUGUCACUUAUAGAUGGAUCCGCGCUGCAUUAGCUAGUUGGUAAGGUAACGGCUUACCAAGGCAACGAUGCAUAGCCGACCUGAGAGGGUGAUCGGCCACACUGGAACUGAGACACGGUCCAGACUCCUACGGGAGGCAGCAGUAGGGAAUCUUCCGCAAUGGGCGAAAGCCUGACGGAGCAACGCCGCGUGAGUGAUGAAGGUCUUCGGAUCGUAAAACUCUGUUAUUAGGGAAGAACAUAUGUGUAAGUAACUGUGCACAUCUUGACGGUACCUAAUCAGAAAGCCACGGCUAACUACGUG
RNAcentral lists this ribosomal RNA (497 nucleotides) under uncultured bacterium. RNAcentral describes it as "partial 16S ribosomal RNA". It matches the Rfam family "Bacterial small subunit ribosomal RNA", at positions 28 to 507 of the family's 1533-position model. The record is from RNAcentral.